GAAUUGCGAAAAUUAAUGUGAAUCGCGGGGAUCGAGAAACAUCAAGUCUUUGAACGCAGGAUGCACUGGGCCACGAUAGUCCAGUAUGGAUGGAUGAGGAUUUUUACAGGGCCAAGUAUCUGGGGGUAUCCUGGGUAUCUGGGAAGGUGCGGCGCGGCGUCUCUCUCCAGAAGAUCAGAAGAUGGCCCGCUGUUAAAUAAAUUAGGCAUGGAGAAUCAAAGGGGGAGUCAAUUCGGAAAAAGGCAGUUAUUUGUCACGGGUUUCCCCCCCAGCCACAACUCCACAGCUCAAAUGCAGUGAAUAUACACUGAACUGAACGCACCAUCAAACAAAAUCUCAUCUCAUCUAGGAUCACCCGCUGAACUUAA
This 368-nucleotide unclassified non-coding RNA is filed under the name uncultured fungus. RNAcentral's name for it is "sequence contains ITS1". The stretch from base 1 to 103 matches the Rfam family "5.8S ribosomal RNA", at positions 50 to 154 of the family's 154-position model. The record is from RNAcentral. Lineage: Eukaryota; Fungi.